Molecule: ribosomal RNA, 465 nt
Filed under: uncultured bacterium
Lineage: Bacteria
Description: bacterial SSU rRNA
Rfam family: Bacterial small subunit ribosomal RNA
Source: RNAcentral
GACGAACGCUGGCGGCGUGCUUAAAACAUGCAAGUCGAACGGACUUCUCAUGAAGCUUGCGAUUGAGAAGUUAGUGGCGGACGGGUGAGUAACGCGUGGGCAACCUGCCCCUGAGCCCGGGAUAACAGUUCGAAAGGACUGCUAAGACCGGAUAUACUUGCGGGGAAGCAUUUCACUGCAAGGAAAGGGAACGCUCAGGGAUGGGCCCGCGUCCCAUUAGCUAGUUGGUGAGGUAACGGCCCACCAAGGCGACGAUGGGUAGCCGGCCUGAGAGGGUGAACGGCCACACUGGGACUGAGACACGGCCCAGACUCCUACGGGAGGCAGCAGUUGGGAAUCUUCGGCAAUGGGCGCAAGCCUGACCGAGCAACGCCGCGUGGGUGAUGAAGGUUUUCGGAUUGUAAAGCUCUGUCUUCCGGGACGAUAAUGACGGUACCGGAGGAGGAAGCCACGGCUAACUACGUG